Long non-coding RNA from Oncorhynchus tshawytscha (Chinook salmon), 3901 nucleotides. The record is from Ensembl. Lineage: Eukaryota; Metazoa; Chordata; Actinopteri; Salmoniformes; Salmonidae.
CAAAUUUCACAUCUUAACGUCUCCCACUUGUCGUGAAUGAAGCUUGUGCGCACAACUCGGUCUCUAUACUGAGCUCCCUCUGUAGCCAUGAGCAGUGCUAGAGCGCCCACUAUUUCAAAAACUAGGAAUAUUAUUUCACAAGACUUGGAAGAACUUAAUAAAAAAGUUACUAUCCCUUUCGACAACUUUUUUGUUAACUUUCGGGUAACGAUUCUUCGCCGUGUCUAACCUCCGAGAACAGAAAACAAAACUACUCCCCGGCGCAGUUUGUACGGUAAUGUUUUUUCUCUCCCAUAUCUUUUAUACAAAACCACCAGCAGUGUUUCUCAGCAUAUAUGAAAGUUCUGACGUUGUGAACAAGCGAACACAAGGCUGCAACCGCGAAAAGGCUGGACACACGGACUAGGGUGUUUUAUCGUUACUAUUCACAAGAAGAGCGAAAUUAUCUACGAGGACAAAGACGCGUCCGACUAAGGAACUGACAAAUGACAAGGACACAUUGGUGACCGGCACGAGAGUUCGAGCCGCCGACCGAAAGCGUAAGAAGGGAAAAAGACCUACUUUUGGCCAGUUUUCUCGCCCUCGCCUUGGAUCUCAUCUUGUCGGCUUGUAGAUUCCUCUCGUCCUCCGUGAGCCCAGAAGCAGCAACAACACUAUCUUCAUCUCACAAGCAUUGUCAGUUUGGACACCUUCGCACAUGCGCACAGGCCAUUCAAUCUGACACCCUCAUCAGGGCCAAAAAACUUUGCAAUGUAUUCAUCAUCACUUUUUGUCCUAUCGUCUCCCCUUUAGAUCACUUAUCUCUUCCCCUCCUCCCUCUCAGCACCAUCUCGGACCCCCUCCCCCCCUCCCCUCCCCCUACCACCGCCUUUGCCACCACCACCUUCUUGACUACCCCUUUAAGAGCAAUAACUUAUUUUUCGCAAACCUGUGGGAUCCGGACUAGCAAUGGAUACAGCAUGGUAUGUGAUGGGGUCAAGGUCGCAUCCCUCAACUGCAAGAUAGGCCUAACUCAGAAGAUGAUUAUUUACAAUUGAUGCAAUGGAUGUCUUAUCUGGCAUUGUGUUCAAAUGUAGGUUAAUCAAAUGCCAACUUUUUCCAGGGGUCAUUAUUGACUUCGCUUAUUCAGAUGCAUAAAGUUGCAUGUACGAUAGCUCUCCGUAUGAAAACAUAACGUUGCACACACAUGCUUUGCCUGCGAGCAAGCCACACGAAAACGGCAGCUGUUGACGCAUGCAGCAGCCUACUCUCAACAGACGAGACGACGAGUAGGCUACAGAACCGGGCUAGUUUUCAUUCAUUGUAUUUCUAUAGGAAGCAUGUAUAAGUAAGUUAAGGUUUUUCUACUUGAAAAUAUGCCUUAUUUCUGCACCCCUAUCAUCUCUGUGAACUAUGGUGCGAUGUAAUGAAUGCAAACAUCCCAUCGCCAUUUUUGGCACAAGGGCUCCAGGUAAAACCAGCGAGGAAGAGAAAUAGAUUGUGAAUUUCUAAUGUAAGUAUGACUUUGCCUUCCACCUGUUUUACGUGCAGCAUGCAUGGCGUUCACACGUGCAUGCUGUGUAUGAAAGCAGGCGUCUGUUGAUCGUCGCAUGCAUAUAUUAACGGUCAACGUUAGGAGUGUGCCUUCGAUGUCAGUUGGAGGUUAGGCUAUAUAUUGUGUAGCUUAAUCUGCAGCUCAUAAUGCAGCUAAGCAAUUGAAAUAGGUAAGUCUGAGCGACCUUAUGUGUGAAUGAAUAAAAUAUCUACGGUGAACUAUAUGGAUGUUGAACGAAAGAAAGGAAAAUAUUUCUAGAUGAUUUUCAAGUGACAGUAGCCUAGUUCUGUGUUAAUCUACAUGUAGGCUAGGUUGGUAUUUCUGUGCAAUUGAAGCAGUAAAGAGAACAGACAAACAAAUAUCCGAAAAAUAUACCUGGCAAACAAAACUAUGUUUAUUCGGCAUAGGCCUAAUGCAUUAUUUGCAUUUGAAGUUAAUUUCAUUAUCUGUCCUAUUGCAUGCAGUUAUUUGACAAUUAUUAAACCAUAUUACUGUAUCGUUGUUAUUAUAAUAAUAAUAUGAGUAUUGUGCUAUAUUGUAAGAACUAUUAUUAUUAUUAAUAAUAUUAUUAUUAGCAACAACAGACGCCACAUUUUUAUGCACAGGCCUACUGCAUGUAAAACCAAAUGUUGUUCAUAAAAAAAGCAUGUCGAAAUAGAUCGUUUUGAAACCUUUUUGAGAACAUUGACCUAGAAAAGAAAGGAGUUGCAUGAUCAUAAUCAGUUGUUUUACCAGGCAUUUUGAUCUCGGAGCGAGUUCCAUUUUGUGAUUUGUAAAUGGGAAAAUAGAGUGCCUCUUCGGGAAGAUAGACGGGUUAAGACCUUUAACCAAUCUCCCGUGGGACAACGCGUGCAUGUGAUCACAGCCUUGAUUGAACAUCAAGAAAAUGAUUAUUAUUCAUUUAUUAUUAAUGUAUUAUUACUUAUUACAAGUGUAUUAUUACUUUUGUUUUUUAUUAAUGGACUAUUACGGUAGUAAUUGGGCAUAAGAUGGAAUAAGAAACGUGCAGACUGUUGAAUAUUCACUAAAAAGGCCUACUGCAAUUGCAUAUUAAAUCCGUUGCGUGAUACUAUAAUUAAUUUUUUUUUAAACAUACAUCAGCACAGGACUACAAUUACUUCAACCAUAAUUGAUAACUUAAGCAAAUAUUAAAUAAUCAACCAUUUGUUUCAAUGUGCAAUACAAGUUCAAAUGAAAUGUCAUGUGGUUGACUAGGCGUCUACAUUUCAUAUCCCAAUAGCAAAACAUUUAGUAAUUUCAACUAUUGAUCUAACAUUGUUGUUUGUGGAAUCGAAUCAUAUGUUGCAAAACAGAAUUCUUACAAAGUGGGGUUAAGUAAAAAUCUUACUAUAUAGCCUAACGGACUGACAUUGAGCCAACAAUCCUCAGGUGAGUAUUCAUUUAAUUUACCAAUGCUACUUUAUUGAGCCAACUCCUGGGUGUGAGUGCGAUAGAAUGACGACUGGGAACAUCAAGUCUUGUCUCAAUCGAUUUAUUGUAUCGAUAACAUUUCAUGUUUAAGUGUGAAAAAAAGGUCCAUUCAACAGCAUUUGUUUCUUAUUUUCCCCAAAAUGUUUUCACCAAAAAUGUUUUCACCAGCUCUCCAGAACAAUUUAAACGUGGGUCGAAUCUCUCACAUUGGUCUGGACAAAUUAUUUAAUAUGGCGCAACACCUUUUUUAAGAGCAAUUAAGCCUAACUGUGAUUACGCUUGUAAAGAAAAGUGUUGCUCUUCGGUACCCGUUCAUUUGGGGAAUAGUUUUCUGCGUCAUUUAAACGUCUGCCUUUUACGAGCUCUACGUGGCGGCUGUGUAACCCCGCAUUUUUGAGUAUUUUCUUUCCAGAUUGUUGCGAUUUUCCUGCGGUUUUAACACGGGGACGGAGAGAGGCUGGCGCAGACCCCGGAGGAGAGGUGUGCUGCUUCAAUCCAGGCCGCAGUAGCAAUAUCCGUAUUUUGGUCAUUUACAGGGCAUCAAUCCAAUAUGCUAAUUAGUCAACAACUAAAAGUAGCCUAUGGCUAUUCAGAGCAGCAAACAUCACUCUUCGAAUUUAUUGAUCUUAAACGAGGGCCUAAAUAAAAAAGUAUGCCUUCAAACACUAUUAUUUUGUGCAUUUCUAUAUUUUUUAUCUAUUAGGCAACCCAUUCUAUUUAUGCUCAUCUUUCGGCAAGACCACAGAGACAACAUAGUAGACCUAAGCUUGCACUGAGUAUACACUAAAAGGAAAAGUUUCCUGCACUCUUAGAAAAAAAUGUUUCUUAUAGAACCAAAAAGGGUUAUAAUCACUUGCUUCAUAUAUGAAACCGAUCAGAACCCUAGAGGUUCUUCACUGAACUAAAAUGGUUCCAUAUAGAACCCUGCAUGGUGCC